RNAcentral lists this ribosomal RNA (156 nucleotides) under Bipolaris sp. Bi-1. Its description in RNAcentral is "5.8S ribosomal RNA". It matches the Rfam family "5.8S ribosomal RNA". From Rfam's summary of the family: 5.8S ribosomal RNA (5.8S rRNA) is a component of the large subunit of the eukaryotic ribosome. It is transcribed by RNA polymerase I as part of the 45S precursor that also contains 18S and 28S rRNA. Functionally, it is thought that 5.8S rRNA may be involved in ribosome translocation. RNAcentral also lists the same sequence under 1 other name. Lineage: Eukaryota; Fungi; Ascomycota; Dothideomycetes; Pleosporales; Pleosporaceae. The record is from RNAcentral.
AACUUUCAACAACGGAUCUCUUGGUUCUGGCAUCGAUGAAGAACGCAGCGAAAUGCGAUACGUAGUGUGAAUUGCAGAAUUCCGUGAAUCAUCGAAUCUUUGAACGCACAUUGCGCCCUUUGGUAUUCCAAAGGGCAUGCCUGUUCGAGCGUCAUU